CAUCACUACACAGUUAUCCUGCUAGAGCUGGGAGAAACAAAGGCUGCACAUUUUGUGGUGAAGAGGUUUCCAAUGGUCCAACUACUGAUAUGACAAGCCCCUAAGGAGAACAGUGAUUCACAGUCAUCUCCUUGGGUACAAACAGAUAUGAGUGGAAUUUUCACAUAAUAAUAGAAGUUUAGGAGGCCACAGAAUCGCUCUUCUUGUUCUGCUUAGUUGAGUCCUCCUUUUCUUCAAUCAAAUCCAUGAAAACUUAUGCCAACUCAAUUCCACUAUAUUUUUCAGGAUCUGCAUUGGACUCAAAUUAUCUGGUAAUUGAAAAUCUAGAGCUUCAUUUGUAGAGACAACAUGAGUUUCACAUUUAAAUGUCACAUGAGGACAGUAAAACAGAAACCCAGUGAGUUUUGCUUCUCAAUGCAUGUAAUAAAAAUGAAGCCAAAUCAAGUGUAAUCUUGAUGAUAG
Molecule: long non-coding RNA, 462 nt
Filed under: Cricetulus griseus (Chinese hamster)
Lineage: Eukaryota; Metazoa; Chordata; Mammalia; Rodentia; Cricetidae
Description: lncRNA (ENSCGRG00015031141.1)
Source: RNAcentral